This 468-nucleotide ribosomal RNA is filed under the name uncultured bacterium. RNAcentral describes it as "partial 16S ribosomal RNA". It matches the Rfam family "Bacterial small subunit ribosomal RNA", at positions 28 to 507 of the family's 1533-position model. The record is from RNAcentral.
GAUGAACGCUGGCGGCGUGCUUAACACAUGCAAGUCGAACGGUGAAGGCGGAGCUUGCUCUGCUGGAUCAGUGGCGAACGGGUGAGUAACACGUGAGCAAUCUGCCCCUGACUCUGGGAUAAGCGCUGGAAACGGCGUCUAAUACUGGAUACGAGCUGCUAAGGCAUCUUCAGCAGCUGGAAAGAACUUCGGUCAGGGAUGAGCUCGCGGCCUACCAGCUUGUUGGUGAGGUAACGGCUCACCAAGGCUUCGACGGGUAGCCUGCAUGAGAGGGGGGCCGGCCACAAGGGGACUGAGACACGGCCCAGAAUCCUACGGGAGGCAGUAGUGGGGAAUUUGGCACAACGGGCGAGAGCCAGAUGCAGCGACGCCGGGUGCGGGACGACCGCCUUCGGGUUGUAAACCUCUUUGAGCAGGGAAGAAGCGAAAGUGACGGUACCUGCAGAAAAAGCGCCGGCUAACUACGUG